This 110-nucleotide small nucleolar RNA is filed under the name Ochotona princeps (American pika). RNAcentral describes it as "Small nucleolar RNA SNORA74 (ENSOPRG00000022895.1)". Lineage: Eukaryota; Metazoa; Chordata; Mammalia; Lagomorpha; Ochotonidae. The record is from RNAcentral.
CCCAGCUCUAGGCAGCUGCCCAGGUUGCACUGUACCUGGGCAAGUGUGACACUGCUGGGAGCAACACAGCCAAUAGCUGGCAGGCAUUCUGGGCCUGUUUAAUGUAAAAU